This is a long non-coding RNA of Pezoporus flaviventris, 172 nucleotides long. RefSeq lists it as uncharacterized. The record is from RefSeq and is a predicted model, not a curated record. The transcript has 2 exons. NCBI's taxonomy places the organism in Eukaryota, Metazoa, Chordata, Aves, Psittaciformes, Psittacidae.
AAGCAACAGGCUUUGCUGCUAGUUUCUGUUACCAACAACAUUGCCAUUAAGGGUAGCUUUACACACCAAGUUCUCAUGCAGUAGCAAAGAAGAAAAUCAAAGCCUGACUAAAACAGAAACACCACAAGAGCUGUAAAGGAUCCCAACUCAAGGCCCCUACAGACAGGACUGG